This 1360-nucleotide ribosomal RNA is filed under the name uncultured beta proteobacterium. Its description in RNAcentral is "bacterial SSU rRNA". It matches the Rfam family "Bacterial small subunit ribosomal RNA", at positions 27 to 1386 of the family's 1533-position model. The record is from RNAcentral. Lineage: Bacteria; Pseudomonadati; Pseudomonadota; Betaproteobacteria.
GAUUGAACGCUGGCGGCAUGCCUUACACAUGCAAGUCGAACGGCAGCACGGGUGCUUGCACCUGGUGGCGAGUGGCGAACGGGUGAGUAAUACAUCGGAACAUGUCCUGUAGUGGGGGAUAGCCCGGCGAAAGCCGGAUUAAUACCGCAUACGAUCUACGGAUGAAAGCGGGGGACCUUCGGGCCUCGCGCUAUAGGGUUGGCCGAUGGCUGAUUAGCUAGUUGGUGGGGUAAAGGCCUACCAAGGCGACGAUCAGUAGCUGGUCUGAGAGGACGACCAGCCACACUGGGACUGAGACACGGCCCAGACUCCUACGGGAGGCAGCAGUGGGGAAUUUUGGACAAUGGGCGAAAGCCUGAUCCAGCAAUGCCGCGUGUGUGAAGAAGGCCUUCGGGUUGUAAAGCACUUUUGUCCGGAAAGAAAUCCUUGGCUCUAAUACAGUCGGGGGAUGACGGUACCGGAAGAAUAAGCGCCGGCUAACUACGUGCCAGCAGCCGCGGUAAUACGUAGGGUGCGAGCGUUAAUCGGAAUUACUGGGCGUAAAGCGUGCGCAGGCGGUUUGCUAAGACCGAUGUGAAAUCCCCGGGCUCAACCUGGGAACUGCAUUGGUGACUGGCAGGCUAGAGUAUGGCAGAGGGGGGUAGAAUUCCACGUGUAGCAGUGAAAUGCGUAGAGAUGUGGAGGAAUACCGAUGGCGAAGGCAGCCCCCUGGGCCAAUACUGACGCUCAUGCACGAAAGCGUGGGGAGCAAGCAGGAUUAGAUACCCUGGUAGUCCACGCCCUAAACGAUGUCAACUAGUUGUUGGGGAUUCAUUUCCUUAGUAACGUAGCUAACGCGUGAAGUUGACCGCCUGGGGAGUACGGUCGCAAGAUUAAAACUCAAAGGAAUUGACGGGGACCCGCACAAGCGGUGGAUGAUGUGGAUUAAUUCGAUGCAACGCGAAAAACCUUACCUACCCUUGACAUGGUCGGAAUCCCGCUGAGAGGUGGGAGUGCUCGAAAGAGAACCGGCGCACAGGUGCUGCAUGGCUGUCGUCAGCUCGUGUCGCGAGAUGUUGGGUUAAGUCCCGCAACGAGCGCAACCCUUGUCCUUAGUUGCUACGCAAGAGCACUCUAAGGAGACUGCCGGUGACAAACCGGAGGAAGGUGGGGAUGACGUCAAGUCCUCAUGGCCCUUAUGGGUAGGGCUUCACACGUCAUACAAUGGUCGGAACAGAGGGUUGCCAACCCGCGAGGGGGAGCUAAUCCCAGAAAACCGAUCGUAGUCCGGAUUGCACUCUGCAACUCGAGUGCAUGAAGCUGGAAUCGCUAGUAAUCGCGGAUCAGCAUGCCGCGGUGAAUACGUUCCCGGGUCUUGUAC